CUUAAUAAGCCGUUGAUAAGAACCAUGAUUUAUAAACGUUUAUUAGGGGCUUCUUAACUAAUAAGCAGAUUAGACGCGUUAUGUUGGCAUCUUGGCACAUCAUAGACAAAAAUAUGGCUGAACAUUAAUUUAAAAAAAAAGUUUGACAGCAGCACUAGCGGCCAAUCGUAAUAUCAUGAAAAAGUUGAUUUACUAUUUUGACUAAUUUUCGGAAUUAUCUCAUAUUAAAAUAGCUUCUGUGCCACAAAAAUAAACAAAGAUUGCUGCAUGGCCGGUAAUUUUAUAAAACUUGUUUCAAUAUUAUGUGGAAUGGAGUCGAAAGAAGUGGGGUUCUAGCCGAAGUGCAUAAUUAGCGAAAAGAAGAAGUCGAAGCCAGAUACCGUACCAGGCCUCCAGUCGCCUCCGCAAGAAGAACCAUUGAAUAAUGGUUCAUGAGUUCACACUAAUUUAUUCUGGUUGCGGCAGAAAUUCACAACGGGUCAACAAAACCAAGGUCCAUUCAAACUCACUAAAUCAGAUCCUGAAAGUACCAUCUUUAGCCACUGUUACUGUUGAAUAACUCCAGGCUUUGGAAGAAAAGCUGUGGCCUGCGAACAGCUGUGAAUAUUGGUCGGAGAAGUGUAACUG
This is a long non-coding RNA of Cydia fagiglandana, 627 nucleotides long. RefSeq lists it as uncharacterized. The transcript is spliced from 3 exons. The record is from RefSeq and is a predicted model, not a curated record. Lineage: Eukaryota; Metazoa; Arthropoda; Insecta; Lepidoptera; Tortricidae.